AACGAACGCUGGCGGCAUGCCUAACACAUGCCAGUCGAACGAGACCUUCGGGUCUAGUGGCGCACGGGUGCGUAACGCGUGGGAACCUGCCCUUAGGUUCGGAAUAACUCCCCGAAAGGGGUGCUAAUACCGGAUAAUGUCUUCGGACCAAAGAUUUAUCGCCUUUGGAUGGGCCCGCGUUGGAUUAGCUAGUUGGUAGGGUAAAAGCCUACCAAGGCGACGAUCCAUAGCUGGUCUGAGAGGAUGAUCAGCCACACUGGAACUGAGACACGGCCCAGACUCCUACGGGAGGCAGCAGUGGGGAAUAUUGGACAAUGGGCGAAAGCCUGAUCCAGCAAUGCCGCGUGAGUGAUGAAGGCCUUAGGGUUGUAAAGCUCUUUUACCCGGGAUGAUAAUGACAGUACCGGGAGAAUAAGCUCCGGCUAACUCCGUG
Molecule: ribosomal RNA, 433 nt
Filed under: uncultured bacterium
Lineage: Bacteria
Description: partial 16S ribosomal RNA
Rfam family: Bacterial small subunit ribosomal RNA
Source: RNAcentral